GGCUCAGAAUCAACGCUGGCGGCGCGCCUAACACAUGCAAGUCGCACGAGAAAGCGGGGGCAACCCUGUGAGUAAAGUGGCGCACGGGUGAGUAACACGUGGGUAAUCUGCCUUCUGGUGGGGAAUAACCCUGGGAAACCGGGGCUAAUACCGCAUAAGCCCGAAAGGGGAACGCAGCAAUGCGCCGGAAGAGGAGCCCGCGGCCGAUUAGCUUGUUGGUGAGGUAACGGCUCACCAAGGCCACGAUCGGUAGCCGGCCUGAGAGGGCACUCGGCCACACUGGCACUGAAACACGGGCCAGACUCCUACGGGAGGCAGCAGUGGGGAAUCUUGCACAAUGGGGGAAACCCUGAUGCAGCGACGCCGCGUGAGCGAUGAAGCCCUUCGGGGUGUAAAGCUCUUUCGGCAGGAACGAUGAUGACGGUACCUGCAGAAGAAGCUGCGGCUAACUACGUGCCAGCAGCCGCGGUAAUACGUAGGCAGCAAGCGUUGUUCGGAGUUACUGGGCGUAAAGAGUGCGUAGGCGGUGCUUUAAGUUUGGUGUGAAAUCUCCCGGCUUAACCGGGAGGGUGCGCCGAAAACUGGAGUGCUCGAGUGCGGGAGAGGAGAGCGGAAUUCCUGGUGUAGCGGUGAAAUGCGUAGAUAUCAGGAGGAACACCUGCGGUGUAGACGGCUCUCUGGACCGCUACUGACGCUGAGGCACGAAAGCGUGGGGAGCAAACAGGAUUAGAUACCCUGGUAGUCCACGCCCUAAACGAUGCACACUUGGUGUGGGCAGUUCAUUCUGUCUGUGCCGGAGUUAACGCGUUAAGUGUGCCGCCUGGGGAGUACGGUCGCAAGGCUGAAACUCAAAU
This 854-nucleotide ribosomal RNA is filed under the name uncultured bacterium. RNAcentral's name for it is "bacterial SSU rRNA". It matches the Rfam family "Bacterial small subunit ribosomal RNA", at positions 21 to 906 of the family's 1533-position model. The record is from RNAcentral.